GAUGAACGCUGGCGGCGUGCCUAAUACAUGCAAGUCGAGCGAACGGACGAGAAGCUUGCUUCUCUGAUGUUAGCGGCGGACGGGUGAGUAACACGUGGAUAACCUACCUAUAAGACUGGGAUAACUUCGGGAAACCGGAGCUAAUACCGGAUAAUAUUUUGAACCGCAUGGUUCAAAAGUAAAAGACGGUCUUGCUGUCACUUAUAGAUGGAUCCGCGCUGCAUUAGCUAGUUGGUAAGGUAACGGCUUACCAAGGCAACGAUGCAUAGCCGACCUGAGAGGGUGAUCGGCCACACUGGAACUGAGACACGGUCCAGACUCCUACGGGAGGCAGCAGUAGGGAAUCUUCCGCAAUGGGCGAAAGCCUGACGGAGCAACGCCGCGUGAGUGAUGAAGGUCUUCAGAUCGUAAAACUCUGUUAUUAGGGAAGAACAUAUGUGUAAGUAACUGUGCACAUCUUGACGGUACCUAAUCAGAAAGCCACGGCUAACUACGUGCCAGCAGCCGCGGUAAUACGUAGGUGGCAAGCGUUAUCCGGAAUUAUUGGGCGUAAAGCGCGCGUAGGCGGUUUUUUAAGUCUGAUGUGAAAGCCCACGGCUCAACCGUGGAGGGUCAUUGGAAACUGGAAAACUUGAGUGCAGAAGAGGAAAGUGGAAUUCCAUGUGUAGCGGUGAAAUGCGCAGAGAUAUGGAGGAACACCAGUGGCGAAGGCGACUUUCUGGUCUGUAACUGACGCUGAUGUGCGAAAGCGUGGGGAUCAAACAGGAUUAGAUACCCUGGUAGUCCACGCCGUAAACGAUGAGUGCUAAGUGUUAGGGGGUUUCCGCCCCUUAGUGCUGCAGCUAACGCAUUAAGCACUCCGCCUGGGGAGUACGACCGCAAGGUUGAAACUCAAAGGAAUUGACGGGGACCCGCACAAGCGGUGGAGCAUGUGGUUUAAUUCGAAGCAACGCGAAGAACCUUACCAAAUCUUGACAUCCUUUGACAACUCUAGAGAUAGAGCCUUCCCCUUCGGGGGACAAAGUGACAGGUGGUGCAUGGUUGUCGUCAGCUCGUGUCGUGAGAUGUUGGGUUAAGUCCCGCAACGAGCGCAACCCUUAAGCUUAGUUGCCAUCAUUCAGUUGGGCACUCUAAGUUGACUGCCGGUGACAAACCGGAGGAAGGUGGGGAUGACGUCAAAUCAUCAUGCCCCUUAUGAUUUGGGCUACACACGUGCUACAAUGGACAAUACAAAGGACAGCGAAACCGCGAGGUCAAGCAAAUCCCAUAAAGUUGUUCUCAGUUCGGAUUGUAGUCUGCAACUCGACUACAUGAAGCUGGAAUCGCUAGUAAUCGUAGAUCAGCAUGCUACGGUGAAUACGUUCCCGGGUCU
This 1372-nucleotide ribosomal RNA is filed under the name uncultured bacterium. Its description in RNAcentral is "bacterial SSU rRNA". It matches the Rfam family "Bacterial small subunit ribosomal RNA", at positions 28 to 1381 of the family's 1533-position model. The record is from RNAcentral.